Small nuclear RNA from Suricata suricatta (meerkat), 103 nucleotides. NCBI's taxonomy places the organism in Eukaryota, Metazoa, Chordata, Mammalia, Carnivora, Herpestidae. The record is from Ensembl.
GUACUGUUUAUGAGUAUCUACAUUAAAAUAAGAACAAUACAGAUAUUAGUAGUAGAGCCCCUAAGCAAGGAAAAUACAAAUUCAUGAAGUUAUCUCUAUUUUU